Long non-coding RNA from Xenopus laevis (African clawed frog), 242 nucleotides. RefSeq lists it as uncharacterized. The record is from RefSeq and is a predicted model, not a curated record. The transcript has 3 exons. Lineage: Eukaryota; Metazoa; Chordata; Amphibia; Anura; Pipidae.
AGGUGUUUCCUUUUUCACAUGAUUAUGUGGGCGUGCACAAAGGGAAUGCUAGGGGGAAGCAUGAACAAACUCCAAGGACGCACAGAGGUGAGGACGCAGGGGUGUAGGAGCGUGCACAGAUGAGCAGUGGUGACCAGUGGCAGUGGACGGAACAAGUGCCUGGAACAGUCCAAAUGUGCGCACGAGCUGCGUGGAACUCCGAUGCCAGAAUCUGCACCAAGGGGUAAGUAUAAAGUAGGGGC